Acinonyx jubatus (cheetah) is the source of this 4684-nucleotide long non-coding RNA. RefSeq lists it as uncharacterized. The record is from RefSeq and is a predicted model, not a curated record. NCBI's taxonomy places the organism in Eukaryota, Metazoa, Chordata, Mammalia, Carnivora, Felidae. The transcript has 2 exons.
GCAGGUUUAUACCUGAAACUCGGGCCGGAGGCCAGAGGGGCCCCAGCUGAGCUUGGAGCAGGAGUGGGGGCUUGGUGGGGGGGAGGGGGGGUUGCUGUGCAGGUGUCUUGCAGAAGGAGCUGACCUCCGGGCAGAGGUUGUCAGCGUUUGUGCCCUGCAGUGGAGGUAUUUGUUGGUGGUGACGAUGAGGAAAAGGCUGUUAGUCAGCAGGUCUCCAUUGGGCUGUGAAAUUCCCUAUCGCUGAGGGCAAGUAAUCCCCCCAAAUCCAUAUCCAGGGUUUUCAAAGCCACCACUGCCAUUUCGGCUUUUGGUAUAGCCCUCAGCAUGACUAUUUGGAAGAAGCCUCUCCUGCCCAGCUCAUCCAUGACCGGCAGUUCUGCUGUGCCUGAUGGAAGGCUGGCAGGCAGGUCGGGGUGGGGACAGGAUGCCAUGUCCUCCACGGACAGGUGAAGGUCCGGCCUGCCAUCGAGAGCAGGGGCGUUGGUGUCCUUCUGGGCCACGCAGGUGUUCUGUGGGCUAGCGGCAGACCACUUGUCUGCUGGGCCUACAGCCAGUGGCAGAAGCUGUUAAACUCUGCACGGGGUGGUGACAUCACGGGUCCGGGUAUUUAUGGAAACCAAAGUCCGUGCCUCAUUAAGCUAGGCUUCCCGGGCGGGGGGGGGGGGGCAUCAGAUUAGAACUCCAGCUUGCCUCACGGCUCUCGGGGCUCUGCACCGUGCUGUUCUGGGGCCAGGAACCUUCGGUCUCUGGCCUUGCAGGAUCCUUCCUCUAGGGCUCGGAGCUGUAGGGUGGGACACAGCUCCACAUCUCCACCUGCCCUAGGCAGUUUGCCCCACACCUCAGCUUUCUGGGGCUGUUCAGUGACCUCAGACCUUGUAAGGUUAGAGAACAGAGUUGGAGCCUCUUGGGCUGGGCUCCAUCCCCAGGACUAGAAAAGAGAAGCCUGGAGCCUUAUUUAGGGGGACAUCUUGGGGGCCACUCCAAGGCCUCACGACCCUAUACCGUGACAAGGACCUGUGGAGCUCCCAGUUAAGCAGCACCCCCACCCCUCCGUGGAGGGACAGCUCUCUCGCUAAUGGAGCGUGAAGGAAAAUAAACAUACUUCUUGCCAUGCGCCAGCAGGCCCCGACAGGAGCCCUGGGUGGUGGUGAAGGUGGCCUGUGUCUACGGUUUGCUGUGAUGUUCAUCUGCUUUUUUAGUGGAAAAGCCCACAGGUUGUGGUGCUGAUGUGAGCAGGACACCCCAGUGUUCUCUCUCACUCGCUGUGACAAGGCCCUAGCUGUAUUUUUGGAAACAAAUAGUAAAUCCUUCCCCACCGUUGCUGCAUCCGCCACCGUUGCUGGUAAGGGAGCCCUCCCCGGGCAGCUGUCUUCUUCCUGCCACACCUUUGCCCGGGCCCAGGAGCUGCCCAAGCCUAUCUGCUCACCGUCUUGCCAGGGACACAGUUGCCAUCCAGUACUUGCCCCAAUACCAGUACAGACUGGUUCAGUCCACCAGGAGCCCUGGAACCUGCACUUUAAGCUCCUGGCAGUUUCGUCUCCUAACGAAGCCCACCCUGCCCUGCCCGGCUUGCCUGGGAGAGGGGCUGAGCCGGUGCCGAGGGAGGGCCUGUUGGGGGGCUCUGUGCCCCCUGCCUCUCAUUUGUGUGGGUCCUUUUAUGCUCCUCCGGCUCUCAGGCUCCUACAGCCUGGUACCGUGACAUCCAGCACCCAGGUGCUGCCACAAACCUAUGGCUACCAGAGGUGGCAAAGAGGCUGGGGAGGGGGCGACUGGAAAUGAGCCAUUGCCCCAUUGUUUUUAGGGAAAGACUGGGACCCAGAGCAGGCCUGCUUGACAGGGCUGCACAGCAGACACAGAGCCCUGUGUGUUUGCUCCCCGCUUCACCGUGGCCCAGAACCAGGGCUCUCCUAGCACCUGCUGCUCGACCUUUGUUCCCAGCGCUUUUGAUGCGAUAGGGGGGACGGGGGACGGGGAGCGGCGUGUCUUUAGCUGUUUAACUCUCAGGGCAGCUGGAAACCCAAGCAUGGUAGCGUCUGGCCGACAUACCGUUGUACCAUUUAGCUUCAGAGCCCUUUCCGCCCAGUUGCCCUGUUGGUUCUCACCAACUGUUCUAGAAUGGGGGUGUUGUUGAUCUCAUCUUACAGAAGAGGAAACUGAGGCUCAGGGAGGGUAGGAGUGUGGCCGAGGUCACGUGGCUGUUUCCUGCUGUAUCCUUGACAAUGGGGUCCCUCCCCUGGUAUGUCACGUGCCAGACUCGACCGACUCGCUCCGGGUCCCCGUGUGUGGCAGGAGCAGGGUGUCCCGUGGCUUAGCUUGUCCAGGUGGCCAUCCUCUGGGUCCCCUGGAGCAGGCCCUAAGAGAGUGUUAUGACAUUUGGGCUCUGUCCGAGGGUGGGUACCCGCCGGGGGGGGGGGGGGGGCUCAGUCACUUACAGCGGUGGCAGAGAGAACAAGAUAAAGGACAGCAAUACGACACGAGCGGGAGAUUUAUUAAUGCAUUGGGGGGAAAUCGCGAGGCCUCCAGAAUCAGCUCCUUAAUCAAAUUUGCUAACAACUGAGAUCAUUACCAUACUGACGGCUUAAUUAAUGGUGUCUUAAUUAAGGUGAGCCCCUUUCAGACUGUAACUACACUUAACAGGGUAACCACCGUCUUACGGGCAUGUCACAUCCUGCUGCUUGAACACGGAAAGCUGGGGCUACAGGGCGUUCGCACUGAGUGUGAAAUUCACAGCUUCUGGGGGGUUGGGGGCUGAAGUGGGGCGCCUCCUGCUCAUUCGUUCAUUCACUCUGGCUGGAACUUCUGUGACCCCUCACCUGACAUUCCUCUAUUCCUUCUCUGCCCGGUGCUGUCUCCAUCUGCCCGCUGCCGUUGGUUGAUUGGUUCACCUGCUAGAACGUACCAGGGCAGAGAGGUUGACAGUGUGCUAGCUGCUGCUACCCUAGCAUCUAGAAAAGCACAGGCAUAUAGUAACUGCUCAGUAAAUCUCUGUUGAAUGAAUGAAUUAUGGAUCUGCAGCGGGCACUGCCCUAAGCAGUGGGGCACAUUGCUGAGUAAUAGAUAGUUUCUGCCUUCUGGGAGCCUGAAGGCCAGUGGGUGAGACAGACAUGAACAGACACUCUCAGUACACAGUGCCAAGGGCCGGGACAGGAAGAUGACCCGGCGAUGGGGAGGGUCACUGCAUCCUACAGCAGGCAUGUAGUGUGAAUGGAAUUUUCCAGGUGGUCAAGGAGGGAAGAGCACUCCAGGUACACAAAUGUCAGGCCACGAUCGCAAGAAUUUUGCAGGCGUAAGCUCAUUUGACCUUCACAGUGACCCUGGGAGGUGGGGCUGUUAUUAUCCCUAUUGUGCUGACAAUGCCACUGAGUUAUCAAAUAACUUGUCCCAGGUGGCACCCGGUGAGGGGGUAGCACAGGGCUUGAGGCUGCACAGCCAGCCCCUAAAGCCCAGCUCCGGUGCUGUGCGUAUACUAAAGGCUUUUACUGAAAGCAGCUACGUCUGGUCCGAGCCCCAAGCGUGAGGGAAAAGACAGAGACGACACUGAAAAUGUGGGCAGGACCCAAGGCAGAAGUCACCUGGAGUGCCAGGAGCUUAACUUUUUAAAAGGGCUGAGGACCGGUGCUGGGUCUGAUGGGCUACUACGAGACAGGAAGACCAGCAACCCCCUGUCUUGGUCCUUCCAGGAGAAGCCUGUGUGGUCACUGACCUCUGUCGCCCUCCCCUCCCUGACAGGUGAGACCCCUUGACCUCUCCCCAGCCAGGGGCACGGGGACCUGCUUCCUUCCCUACCCCAGAAAGACAACAUAGGCCCCUUUUGCUGCCAGCCGGUGCCUGGUCAGCCCUGGCAAGAAGGUUGAGAGUCUGGAGCUCUCCCUAGAGACCCUAACCCCAAAGCACCCCACCCUCCCAAAGGCCUGGGCCCGGCCCCACCUAGAGGCUCCCCCAAGUGGGCCUGGACCGUCCACUCCCUCCCGCUCAGCCUCCGCCUAGUGCCACCUGUGUGGGUGAUAAUACAGCCACCUCAUUCUUCCUCUGUCCCCUCUGUCCCUCUGUGCCCAUUCUCAGGGAGACCCAAAUCAAACCUUCGUUCAAAUGCCAUUUGAAAGCAAAAACGUAACCCAGCCAACUAAAACAAAAAGGUUAAGGGAAUGGAGUGUUUUUGAUGAGCCUGUUGUCCUGCAAAUUGACUAUUCAGUGAAUGGGAUUUUGGCAAAUUGACUUGUCACGGGUUGAGGGAGAGCCAGGACAAGGCCUGUGAGGCUGGGGAUGGCGGGGCUGAAGCCAGACCGAGUGUGGUGUGGGCUCAGGGCCCGAUACACCUGGGAUCUCGGGGGCUGGGCUCCCUGGACAGACCCCAGCUGGAGGACUCUGGCCUCCCGCUCUCGUCCACCUGACCUUGUGGGGAUGAGCUAGGGACACGAGGCCCGGGCUGGAGAUGCCCCGAGUCUCCCAGUCUCCGGUCACACCUGACCUUGUUGGACACUGGUGCACUGGCCUGUCCUCAGAGGGACAAAUCAUCCAAUUGUGACAGGGUCCCACUGGAGCAGCCUCGGAGCUUAGCGGGCAGCCCAUCUGAGCGUGGCUAAUUGCAAGAUGUUUUAUUGGCUUCGGCGGUUCCAUUCCUCGUCAAGACGGUCCCGGCUUCUGUUUGGAAUGGUUAAUAAGGGAAGUGAUGCAUUUUUAAUCA